GUGGCCUUAUUAAAAUCAGCCAAACAAAGUAUGCCUUUUCCUGUCGGUACAUAAGAAUGGUGCAGAUGGCAGAUUAUAUGAUGAGGGAAGUAAAACACAGAGGAAGAAAUUCACUGCCUAAUGAUGAAGAGGAAUUUGAAGUCCCGCCGUGGGAACCUCACCAGAGCCUGGUCAGAGCAACACCACCAGUCCAAUCGCAGGCAACGUGGAGAAACAAGGAAUGCCAGAACAGCCUCAGCACUAGUGCACAGAGCAUUAAGGAUGCAUAAUGAAGGAGCCUGUGAG
Molecule: long non-coding RNA, 285 nt
Filed under: Apteryx owenii (little spotted kiwi)
Lineage: Eukaryota; Metazoa; Chordata; Aves; Apterygiformes; Apterygidae
Description: lncRNA (ENSAOWG00000016204.1)
Source: RNAcentral